Molecule: ribosomal RNA, 354 nt
Filed under: Polyporivora picta
Lineage: Eukaryota; Metazoa; Arthropoda; Insecta; Diptera; Platypezidae
Description: SSU rRNA
Rfam family: Eukaryotic small subunit ribosomal RNA
Source: RNAcentral
CGUUCGUAGUUGAAUUUGUGCUCCAUACGGGUAGUACACCUAUAAUUAUGGUCUGUACAUUACCUUAUUGUAUGCGAGCGUAUUACCGGUGGAGUUCUUAUAUGUAAAUUGUACUUGUACUUUUUGCAUGUUCCUCCUAUUUAAACCUGCUUCAGUGCUCUUUACCGAGUGUUGUUGUGGGCCGGUACAAUUACUUUGAACAAAUUAGAGUGCUUAAAGCAGGCUCCAAAUGCCUGAAUAUUUUGUGCAUGGAAUAAUGGAAUAAGACCUCUGUUCUACUUUCAUUGGUUUUUAGAACAAGAGGUAAUGAUUAAUAGAAGCAGUUGGGGGCAUUAGUAUUACGACGCGAGAGGU